AUUGAACGCUGGCGGCAGGCCUAACACAUGCAAGUCGAGCGGAUGCAGGGAGCUUGCUCCUGGAUUCAGCGGCGGACUGGUGAGUAAUGCCUAGGAAUCUGCCUGGUUGUGGGGUAUAACGUCCGGAAACGGGCGCUAAUACCGCAUACGUCCUGAGGAAGAACGUGUGGGAUCUUCGGACCUCACGCUAUCAGAUGAUCCUAGGUCGGAUUAGCUAGUUGGUGGGGUAAAGGCCUACCAAGGCGACGAUCCGUAACUGGUCUGAGAGGAUGAUCAGUCACACUGGAACUGAGACACGGUCCAGACUCCUACGGGAGGCAGCAGUGGGGAAUAUUGGACAAUGGGCGAAAGCCUGAUCCAGCCAUGCCGCGUGUGUGAAGAAGGUCUUCGGAUUGUAAAGCACUUUAAGUUGGGAGGAAGGGCAGUAAGUUAAUACCUUGCUGUUUUGACGGUACCAACAGAAUAAGCACCGGCUAACUUCGUG
RNAcentral lists this ribosomal RNA (484 nucleotides) under uncultured bacterium. RNAcentral's name for it is "partial 16S ribosomal RNA". It matches the Rfam family "Bacterial small subunit ribosomal RNA", at positions 30 to 507 of the family's 1533-position model. The record is from RNAcentral.